GCGGGGCCGGGGCGGGGCGGGGCGAGGGGGCGGGGCGCCCGGGCGGUGACGUCACCGCAUGACUGGGUUUUUAUGAAUGAAAGGAAUCCUGUGAGUGAGUAAUUCCGGGAAGCUCGCCUUACAACUUCGCUGGGUCCCGGCCCCCCGCGCCGCCCGCGGGACAACAAAACGGCGCGCGCUCCCGGGAGCCGGGCUGCGAGCGGCCGGCGGCGGGACCGGAGGGAGGUGGCCCGGCGGGACGGCGGCUGGACCCGCGCGGCCAGGGGCGCCAGGCGGAGCGGGGCCGCGAGGCGGGUCUCCAGCGCAGAAGGUGCCUUCUGCAGACAUGUCUGUGGACCCCUUAUCCAGCAAAGCCCUCAAGAUCAAGCGCGAGCUGAGCGAGAACACGCCGCACCUGUCGGACGAGGCGCUGAUGGGCCUGUCGNNNNNNNNNNNNNNNNNNNNNNNNNNNNNNNNNNNNNNNNNNNNNNNNNNCACGACGGAGGCUGGUGGGGUUGGAGCAGACUGAGUGAGGGGAGCCCAGCAGGAAGGGAAGGCGGAGAGGGGUGUGUCGGGGGCAGAUCGCGGGUGCCCUGUCGGCCAUUAGGGUGACUUUGUCUUUUACUCCAAGGGAGGUGGGAGCCAUAGAAGGAUUGAGAGAAGUGACACAAUCUGCCUUAACACCCAGCCAUCUGGUGUCCCUCAUGGGAAAACUGAGGCAUAGAGACCUACCAAAGUCCCACAGCUUAUGAGUGGGGCGGCCUCCUAGCAGGCCCCAAAGUCCGUGCGCUUCUAUUUCACCGCAGCAUCUCCGGGAGACUCCAGGUCCUGUCAGGUGUCAGAGGCAGAGCUGUGCCUGAGAGAUGGGUGCCACAGGCAGCGCGAGGACCAGGGCCCGGACGCGGGCUCGUGCCCCUCUCUAGCAAACCGAAUGCUGCUGAGGUUGUCCCCCUGCCCUCCCCCAGGGGUUUUCAUAUGGAGAAACUCAGGCUGCCACCGCAUGGGAGGAGAUAGAUCAGCUGAGGGUGGAGAGGAUGGCUGCUUUAAAGGGGUCUUUGGGAGGAGGCCCCCUCCCAGCCCAGCACAACCAUGGCCCCUAGAAUGUACCCUCCACGAGUUUUCAGUUGCCUGUCUCCCCAGUGCCAAGCAAAUAGUAGAUGCUCAGUAAAUAUUUGUUAAACGAACACAGAGGCUUUCUGGCCUUGACUGGGCCCCUGCCCAGGCUAGGUUACGACUCCCACGUCUGCCAGGGGCAGUGCUGAGUUAGUGCCAGGCGCCAGGGGAGGGUGGCUGGGGGAGCGCCUA
This 1284-nucleotide long non-coding RNA is filed under the name Dasypus novemcinctus (nine-banded armadillo). RNAcentral describes it as "lncRNA (ENSDNOG00000051175.1)". The record is from RNAcentral. Lineage: Eukaryota; Metazoa; Chordata; Mammalia; Cingulata; Dasypodidae.